RNAcentral lists this unclassified non-coding RNA (2496 nucleotides) under Polistes canadensis. Its description in RNAcentral is "uncharacterized LOC106793307, transcript variant X3". The record is from RNAcentral. Lineage: Eukaryota; Metazoa; Arthropoda; Insecta; Hymenoptera; Vespidae.
CCGUCAGGUAGGAGUCAGUCGUGGUACGAACGCGAGAACGGAAUUGUCAUUCAUAUUUUUGUUCGUCGUUAGACGAACAACGUGUUCUUCCCCAUUAUUCCUUUUUUUUUUUCUUUUUUAAAUUAUUCUAUUAUAAGUAUAGGGAAAUUAUUUAUAUUUCAAAGAAAUAUUAAUUAAAAAAGAGAAGAAGAAGAAGAAGAGGAAGAGGAAGAGGAAGAAUAAGAAUACGAAGAAGAAGAAGAAUAAGGAAAAUUUGUGAACGACGGGAAUGGGGAUGAAAAAAUAUCAACUGUUCGUAGAAGACGGUGUUAAUGAUUGGUUUCGAAGGAUAUUAAUUACAAGUAGGAUAUAAGCACCGUGAAUCAAUAAAAUUAUGUAACGACGAAAUAUUUGUUCGCGCAUGAAGAAACGAAGGAAGAACUAAUAAUAAGGUGUUCGUUUGUUUGAUAAUAGAUAUUACAAAUUGAUUGAUAAUACUUUAGGAUAUAAACAAGAAAAAGAAGAAGAGUUUAGUUAAAAGGAUGACUGGACGUUCGCGAUCUUUGAUAUUUCUUCUAUUCCUCGUCGUCGUCGUCAUCUUGUCGAUCAUUUGUACAGGAUUAUGCCAAAGUUGUCAAGACACAGCAUGGGAGAAAGUUGAUGGAGCUAGGCCUGAAUAUACCAUUUCUAAAGUUGCCCUGUUCAGUGGUGAAAAUGCCCAUGGCAUUGUUAUACCUUGUUUUGAAAGGUGUAAAAGAAUCAAUUGCACUGCCUUCGUGAUCGAUAUCGAUCGAAGUCUCUGUUACAGCGUCGAAGUUCAAGGCGACGAAUUUGUUCCAGAGUCGAAUGCUAUAUUUUAUCAAGAAAUUUGUAUUAAAGUACCUAAAAUUUGUAAAGAAAAAAAACUUUGGCAAGUGGAAAGAACAUUGGGCGCCGUUUUACUCGAUGUUGCUUCCGUUUGGUUACCACAACUUAUGCGAAGAAGCCGAUGUUAUAAAAUGUGUAUCGAUGCAGGUGGUGCCUGUAAAUCAGCCCAAUUUCGUGCAUCAAAAGCAUUAUCGAUUAAUAAUACACUUGGAAGAUGUGCCCUAUCAAUGGCUGAAAGGAGUAUUAGACCACAGACUUACAGGGCUUCCAUGUACAGAGACGAAUAUUUGCAACAUCAGUGUCAUGAUAUAUUAAAAAUGGAUUAUUGUUCCUACGCUGAAUUUCCGAACGUAACUCUGCCAUAUUCAGAUCUUGAAUUACCUGGUGUUGAUAAACAAGAGUGCGAAAGCAGAUGCGAUCUUGGCGAGGAUGGUUUCAUUUGUAGAAGUUAUACAGUAGUAUACACGUCAAAUCAAAAACCAAUUUGUCGAUUACACUCAGAAGAUACACUGAGUCUUGGUACCAGUUCACUUGAAAGCACACCUAAUAGUAUUUACAAGGAACGUGAACCUUGUUUAGACGUUAAAGUCAAAUGCAGCGACAUGAUGUUAACAGUAACUUUGACUACGUUGGAACCCUUCGAAGGUAGACUUUACGCCAAUGGUUAUGGAAAUGAUUGUGGUAUUCAAGGGACUGGCCGAAACGUAACAAUAUUAACACUGCCUUUACCAAAAACCGAGGAAUUAGAUAUGUCCAAAAUUCCAUGUGGUUUAACGCCAGCAUUUUCAAUCGAUAAUGAAAAUCGAACAAGAACGAUGAUAUGGGCUACUAUAGUCGUACAGUUCAAUCCUAUUAUUCAAAGACUGGGUGAUCAAGCUAUUAAAGUUGGAUGUACUAUAGGUGAACAUGAUAUUCCAAAGCCUAGAAACAUAUCGGUGCAAUCGAGUUUAAGUUUUGCUGAUCCCAACGCAGGAGUACCACCAAUUUCAACAAUUGUAAUGAACGCAUCAUCGGAAGUUCCAGUGAUAACAAUGAGAAUUUUAAACGAGGAUCAUCAGGAUGCUGUUGUUACGAAACUGGGAGAAAGGCUGACUCUUAGAAUUGAAAUAAAUCCAGCUGAUGGUCCGUAUGAUAUCAUGGCUGGACAUCUAGUAGCUAGUAGUGCAACAGGACAUUGGUCUUAUCUUCUACUUAAUGAAGUUGGGUGUCCUACGGAUCCAACAACAUUUCCAGCGUUAUCAAAAGAUCCUAGUGAUAAUCGAUCACUUAUUGCAACUUUUACUGCUUUCAAAUUUCCCGAAAGUCAAUUGGUUCGAUUCAACGUUAUUGUUAAAUUUUGUCUGGAUAUAUGCGAGCCGGCACAUUGCGAAGGAAAUCGUGUCUCUUACGGAAGAAGGAAACGAAAAUCAACAAUUGCCACUUCUACGUCGGAGCCUUAUAUAACUGCUGAGUUCAGAGUCCUGUGAUAUUUGCGGAUCCUCUACUGUCCAGGGAAAAUACUACUCCCGAUACGAUUCUAAUAGCUGGCGGACACUCCAUCGAUGGACUACUCUGCGUAGAUGCUAGUUUAGUUUUAGGCUUACUCAUCUUUUGGCUGAUCAUUCAAAUAAUUUUGAUAGCAUCUUGCCUAUUGGCUGUUGGACGAUACAG